This 102-nucleotide ribosomal RNA is filed under the name Vibrio cholerae. RNAcentral's name for it is "partial 23S ribosomal RNA". It matches the Rfam family "Bacterial large subunit ribosomal RNA", at positions 1 to 97 of the family's 2925-position model. Lineage: Bacteria; Pseudomonadati; Pseudomonadota; Gammaproteobacteria; Vibrionales; Vibrionaceae. The record is from RNAcentral.
AUAGAGUCAAGUGAAUAAGUGCAUCAGGUGGAUGCCUUGGCGAUGAUAGGCGACGAAGGACGUGUAAGCCUGCGAAAAGCGCGGGGGAGCCGGCAAUAAAGC